ACAAUAAUGCGGCCUCGCUACCAAUACGCAUUUAUUAGUAUUGGUAACGUGACAGUCCCAAGCCUGUAAAACGCAGAGGGUUGU
RNAcentral lists this non-coding RNA (84 nucleotides) under unclassified sequences. The record is from RNAcentral.